Molecule: long non-coding RNA, 208 nt
Filed under: Homo sapiens (human)
Lineage: Eukaryota; Metazoa; Chordata; Mammalia; Primates; Hominidae
Description: HSALNT0395412
Source: RNAcentral
UGUGAGGGGUGUCCUGGGUCUGGAGGUGUCCGUGUGAGGGACCCUGUGUGAGGGAUGCUCUGGGUCUGGAGGUGUCCGUGUGAGGGACCCUGUGUGAGGGAUGCUCUGGGUCUGGAGGUGUCUGUGUGAGGGACCCUGUGUGAGGGGUGCUCUGGGUCUGGAGGUGUCCGUGUGAGGGACCCUGUGUGAGGGGUGCUCUGGGUCUGGA